This 309-nucleotide ribosomal RNA is filed under the name Cyanobacterium aponinum K41. RNAcentral's name for it is "bacterial SSU rRNA". It matches the Rfam family "Bacterial small subunit ribosomal RNA", at positions 354 to 679 of the family's 1533-position model. Lineage: Bacteria; Bacillati; Cyanobacteriota; Cyanophyceae; Chroococcales; Geminocystaceae. The record is from RNAcentral.
GUGGGGAAUUUUCCGCAAUGGGCGAAAGCCUGACGGAGCAAUACCGCGUGAGGGAGGAAGGCUCUUGGGUUGUAAACCUCAAAACUUAGGGAAGAAAAAAAUGACGGUACCUAAUGUAAGCAUCGGCUAACUCCGUGCCAGCAGCCGCGGUAAUACGGAGGAUGCAAGCGUUAUCCGGAAUCAUUGGGCGUAAAGAGUCCGUAGGUGGCACUUCAAGUCUGCUUUCAAAGACCGAAGCUCAACUUCGGAAAGGGAGUGGAAACUGAAGAGCUAGAGUAUAGUAGGGGUAGAGGGAAUUCCUAGUGUAGC